Mytilus californianus (California mussel) is the source of this 4216-nucleotide long non-coding RNA. RefSeq lists it as uncharacterized. The transcript has 2 exons. The record is from RefSeq and is a predicted model, not a curated record. NCBI's taxonomy places the organism in Eukaryota, Metazoa, Mollusca, Bivalvia, Mytilida, Mytilidae.
UCCCCACCUUCCUUUUGUGGUAUUGAACCUUAUGGUAAAAUUUCAUUGAGAUCCAUUCACUUAAACUUAAGUAAGAGUGCGAAAACUAAUGUGUCUACGGACGACGACGCCAACGUCAUACCAAUAUACGACCACAAAAUUUUUUUUGCGGUCGUAUAAUAAGGAGAUGAGGUAUGAUUGCUAAUGGGACAACUAAUAUGUUGUCUGGCAGGGUUCAUCUAACCUAGACCUCGUUUGUAUGGUUCAUUGGUCAGUGUUCAAUUUUGUUAUUAAGUCUGUUUCUCGGAUACUAAAAGCAAUAGACUAACUAUAAUUAUGGUAGUGUCACUUUUACCGUUCUUGAGUUAUGUCCCUUUAUAACGUUAUAUGCAAGCUCGGGCAUCAUCUGUGUCCCAUGGACACAUCCCCAUUUAUUUAUGGAAGCUUUGGGACUUUGACUUUUUUUAAAGUAUUGUUACAGGACACCUUGUGAUCAUACCUUUUGAGACCAUUUUACAGAAAGGUCUCAUACUUGGUAGGAUUGUUGGCCAUAAUGUGUAGUUGACUAUUUUGUACCACCAUUUUUAUUUGACAAGAGUCUGGGGUAUACAGCAAUCCUUGUGUCCAUCCAUCUGUCUUGUCUGUCUGUUCAUCCGUCACACUUUUGGUUUCCAGUUGAUAAAUAGAAGACUUCUUUUUUGAUUGAAUUGAAAUUUUAAAGCCAUAAAGAAUGUUUUGGACCACUAAAGAAUGGUUAAUUUCAGUUUUGUUGUAUUCUUCACUUUCACCUUUCCAUAUUUAUGGUAUUGAAUGUUGAAAAAAUUCAAACUGUGGUUUCCAGAUGAUAAAUAGAAGACUUCUUUUUUUAUUGAAUUGAAAUUUUAAAGGAAUGUUUUGGACCACUAAAGACUGGUUAAUUUCAGUUUUGUUGUAUUCUUCACUCUCACCCUUCCAGAUUUAUGGUAUUAACUGUUGUGGUUUCCAGAUGAUAAAUAGAAAACCACUUUUUAUACGACCGCAAAAAAAUUUUUUUUUUUGCGAACGUAUAAUGGUAUGAUGUCGUCAUCGUCUGCGUCGUCAUUCGAAGACACAUUGGUUUCUGGACAAUAACUUUAGUUUAAGUUAAUGGAUCUCUAUGAAAAUUUUGAGAAGGUUCAAUACCACAAAAGGAAAGUUGGGAUUGAUUUUGGGGAUGAUGGUCCCAACCGUUUAGGGAUUAGGGGCCUGAAAGGGCCCAAAACAAACAUUUUUCUAGUUUCAGGAUAAUAACUUGUGUAUAAGUAUUUCGAUUGCUCUGAAAUUGUACAAUGUUUAAUACCACAAGUAGAAGGUUGGGAUUCAUAUUAGGGGUUAUGGGGCAAACAUUUUAGGAAUUAAGGGCCCAAAACCAACAAUGUUUGUAGUUUCCGGACAAUAACUUGUGUGUAAGUGUAUGGAUCUCUCUGAUAUUGUACCAUAAGGUUCCAUAUCACAAAGGGAAGGCUGGGAUUGAGUUUGGGGGUAAUUGCCUCAAACAUGUAGGAAUUAGGGUUUCAAAUUUUUUUAAGGAUGUCAUAAUUUUUUCAAAAAUUUUCAAAUUUUAAAUUUUGUAAAAGUUUCAAGAAGUAAUCUUCAAUUGCACAGUAUUGCGCAAUAGAUUUGUAAGAUCUUUUACCAUAUUUAUUUUGUGUCAGAAACUUAUAUUGUGUCAAAAAUUUGAUCACAAUCAAAAUUCAGUCGGUAUCAAGCUUGAAUAUUAUAUCCAAAUUUGCCCUAACUGUUCAGGGUUUCGACCUCUGUGGUCGUAUCAGGCUGCGCUCAGUGAAGCAUUUUAUUGAAAUUAAUUUUAAUGAAAUAUUUUGGAACACUAAAGACCAGUUAUGUUUGAUAUUUCAUUGUUUUCACUUAUAUCACUCCAGAGUUAUAGUACUUGAUUGUUGGAAAAAAUAAAAAUAAAAUAUUUUUGGUUUCUAGAUAAUAUCAAAUAUUGAAGCUCUUUUUCAAAUUGAUUGAAAUUUAAUGGAACAUUCGGACCACUUUAGAAAAUCCUGAUCUGCAGAUGGAUGGAAUCUGUGAUCACUAGAUCACCUCUCUAGAGUAAUUGGACUUUGACCAUAUUUUGUAGUAUUGUAACAAUGACACUACGAAAGCUACUCCUUUGAGACUGUUUGACAGAAAAGUGUCAUACUUAGUUGGAUUGUUUGCAGUCACAUGUAGAUGACCAUAUUAUACCAGGGGCGGAUUUUUGUGGGAAAAAUGUUGUUGCUUAUUUAGGGAAUACUAAAGCAUGACUGUAGCGGGGCCCCCUCUUGUGGCAGUCAGUGCCCAACCCCUUAUGAAAAUUUCUGAAUCUGCCACUGUAUACAGUCAUUUUGAUUAGGUCAUUUUUCUGGGAGUAAGAGAACUUAAACCAUUUUUUGGAAUAUCAUAAUUCAAUAACACCUGUGAAUUCAACUCUUAUGAGACUGUUUGAAAAUAUUUCACAACUUGGUAGGAUUGGUUGCCAUCAUAUUCAACUAUAUUGUACCCCAAUAUCGAUUCUUUCAUUUAGAACUAGAGAAAUGUGUUUUUGUCCAUUUUUUCUGCUAUUGUACCACUAUGACACAACUACAUAAACUUGAAAAACAUUUUAUAGAGAAACAAUAAUCCUAUUUACUGAACAUGCAUCAGUGGAGGACAUUUUGCAACAGUAUAGAGAUCUUGUCUUCAGGUUGCUGCGUCAUUAACAUCUUACAUAUUUUAUUUAUAAAUAAAAAAAUCUCUAUUACAAUAUAAAAAUAAGUAGAUGUGGUAUGAUUGCCUAUGAGACAACUCUCCACUGGAGACCAAAUGACACAGAAGAUUGGAACAGUAGGUCACUAUACAGCCUUCAACAAUGAGCAAAACCCAUACUGCGAAGCAAGCUAUCAAAGGCUCUGAAAUGACAAAUGUAAAAGGUUAAAGCGAGAAGCAAACUGCCUGAUUUAUGUAAAAAGAAUAUAAUGAAAAAUUGUCAGAUUGUGAAUUAAAUAUUGAGACUAAAUUUUGGGCUCUUCAACAGCACAAAUGUAAAUGUAAAGAGUAUAUACAAGAGAAAACAUUAUUUGUAUAGUUCCUUAUGCCAUAAUGAUCUAAAUGCUUCAUUGUGGUAAGGUUUCCUAUACAAUAUUGGUAUAAGGUAACAUGUAAUGUGUAUAUUAUGUAAAGCAGUGAUUAAAAAACAGAUGGAUAUAUACCGGAAAGUAAAAGACCAGCAAUGAUACAAAGAGUGUAUUUCAGGACCAUAUUUUAUGUUUUUGUUUCUAUAAAUGAUAUACCAUUCUCUGCACCUUCUAUUGCAUUUCACAAUAAUUACCUUAAUUUGACCAAAUUUUAUAAAUUUUAAACUGUUAGACUAAAUUGAGGUAUUCUCUGUAUUUACUUCAUUUUAUAAAGCACAGCAUGAGCUUUUGCCUCACUUUGUGUGUGUCUUUGUUCUUCUGAAAGCUUUCAUAUUGUUGUGAAGGUCCUGAAGUUUUGAUAUCUUGGUGAUCGUAAGAUGGUUGCCAUUGUAGGUCAAAGUUUACCUUGAACGGAAAAUGCAUUUUGAUUUCCUGAACAUGAAUGAAUGUAGUAAAUAAAAAAACUUUGCAGAAAUGUUACCUGGUACUAUUUAACCACGUGGUUCAACUUCUGAUGCCAAGGGUAAUUUUUUUUAAAUUUCAAGUCUUCACAAACUUUUUAUACGACUGCAAAAAAAUUUUGCGGUCGUAUAUUGGUAUGACAUUGGCGUCGUCCGGCGUUGUCGUCAUCCGAAGACACAUUGGUUUUCGCACUCUAACUUUAGUUUAAGUGAAUGGAUCUCUAUGAAAUUUUACCAUAAGGUUCAAUACCACAAAAGGAAGGUGGGGAUUGAUUUAGGGGGUUAUGGUUCCAACAGUUAAGGAAUUAGGGGCCAAAAAUAAGCAUUUUCUAGUUUCCAGACAAUAACUGUAGAACGGUGUAUGGAGCUCUCUCUGAAAUUAUACUACAAGUUUCCAUACCACAAAGGGAUGGUUAGGAUUUGCUUUGGGGGGUUAUGGCUCAAACCGUUUAGGAAUUAGGGGCAAAAAAGGGGGAAAAACAAGGUUGUCCUGGUUAAUGGACACAUACUUUAGUACAAAACAUAAUUUAAAGCAGUGUAAGGGAGAUAAAUCGAACAAUUAAGAUAAUUUAAAACAGUGUAAGGGAGGUAAUCCAAAUACAACGUUUUGGUUACUUCCCUUACACUGCUUUUAAAUUAUGUUUAAAGAAAUGCAUA